This 15796-nucleotide long non-coding RNA is filed under the name Lynx pardinus (Iberian lynx). The stretch from base 1687 to 1771 matches the Rfam family "tRNA". Lineage: Eukaryota; Metazoa; Chordata; Mammalia; Carnivora; Felidae. The record is from RNAcentral.
GGUGCCAUCCCGACCCACUUGUGGAUCCUCUGCCUAACAGAAAAGGUUGCAGUCUGGCUAGUCUGCCCAGGGAGCAAUGCCCACUCUCUGCAUCAGUGCAGAGGGCCAAGAACAUUUCACGGAGCAGACCAGGACUGCAGGUCAGGGGACCAGGGUGCGGCGAUGAAGCCCAAGUUUUCCAACCAAAGACUGGUGUUUUAUACAUGUUCCUUUCAGGCGAGGCAGCCAUCUCGAGAUAGGAGAAACAGAUUCUGGGAAAAGGUGAUAUUGGGACAGAAUAUUUAACCUCAGACUGGUCCUGGGAAAGAAACCCAGAAUGGAUGACUGCCAUCCUGUGCUGGGAAUUUAGGUAUCUGAGUUCCGAGCUGCACAACUGGAAUUCACAAGAACUUAAAGCGUGGGAACAACAGCCACACUAUACUCGCUUAUGUUGAUUGAUUUAGUACUCAGACACCGUGCUAAGUGACGUUCAUGAGUUUUAACUUGUUAAAGUUUCACAACAACCCUACAGGGUAGGUGCUAGAUUACCUCCACUCUUCAGAUGGGAAGCGGAGGCAAUGCUCAAGGAACGCUGGGGACAGCCAGGCUCAUCUUCACAGGCAGCACCACCAUUUGCAUAGAAGGGGAUAAACCAGAAGGCAGAAACAGGUGCUACCCAGGCAGUGCCUGCAUUAUGCAAAUGUGCCCAUUCUUGGCCCCUGAUUUCCAGAGGGGGGAGGGGAAAUAGGCAGGCAGUUGGAGAGGCUAGCUGUUGAGGGGCCAGUGGUAAAAUGGAGGCAACUGGAAAAAGAAAGCAAUUCCCGUAUGUUGACCUAAGGAGAGGUCCAUCCACAGGAGCGGAGAUGAUUAGGUCAUUUCACGAUGCCACCUGAGCGCCUUCACUUUCCAGAAAAUUAAGAGAAAUGCAAACCAUGUGUUGUAAGUAGCACGCUCUCUUUUCAGCUCUACCUGGCCUCUCAGCCCCACUGUAAGAGACACGUAUCCCUGACUUGGCUCCAAAGGUCACAGUUGCUCCUUCCCCAUCCAAAGGUUUGGGGGAUGGUAAACCGCUGGGAUACCUGACUUCUUCCUCUCAAACCAGAAAAUGCACUUGAUGUCCAUUCAGUGCAGGACUGAUUUGGGGACAGCCUUGGGGCUCUCUGUCUCCCAUUCUCCAGGGAGGAAAGUGAGAUGCACUUGUUCCCAGGGACCUUUUGUGAAAUGGAGCUGGCCAAGCUGUGUUUCUCCCUUCUUAACCCUCAGCUAGGUCCCUGCAGGGACCGGUUUGGCUCAGUGGCAUUUGGCCUGGAAUAGAGCUGGGGUUCCUGCUCUUGCUAGUGUCAUUAUUACCAGGUUUGCGGUUUUGUCUGGAGUUUGGGGAACCGAUUCUCCAGGGAGCUGGGACCAAGUCUUGUAUUUCUCCUUGUGUUCUCCCUUACUCUUGGCCAUUUCUCAGAACUUCUUAGAACCUCCACCAGGGUGGAAGGAAGAAAACAGGAGGGGCAACUCCAGGUCGCUUGGUAGGCUUGCAGGUUGGUGGACCUGGGAAAACCAGCUAGCACCUGGAGGUUAGGAACACCAGAACUAUUCCCCAAACUCGGAACAGAGACGGCACCCAAUGAAUAUAUCAAAUAAAAACAUCAAUGAAUCCUGCAUGGGGGAGAAACCCUACAAGAUGUGGGUUAGAAAAAAAUUAUCUGCAGGGGCGCCUGGGUGGCUCAGUCAGUUAAGCAUCUGACUUCAGCUCAGGUCACGAUCUUGCGGUUCGUGAGUUUGAGACCCACCUUGGGCUCUGUGCUAACAGCUCAGAGCCUGAAGCCUAUUUCAGAUUCUGUGUCUCCCUCUUUCUGCCCCUCCUGCCUGCUCACACUCUGUCUCUGUCUCCCUCUCUCAAAAGUAAAUAAACAAAAAAAAAUUAUCUGUUGAUGUUGAAGGCAAGGGAUAAUUUGUGAGUUAACUGUGUCAGGUUUACAAAUUUGCCAUGAUUUCCAAAAUAAUCUCUUCAGAACCUUUUUUUUUUUUUUUUUAGCCCUUGGAUUGAAUGUUUAUUUAGUUUUGAAAGAGAGACAGAGACAGAGUAAGCAGGGGGGGGGGGGCAGAGAGAGAGGGAGACACAGAAUCCAAAGCAGCUCCAGGCUCCCAGAUGUCAGCCCAGAGCCCGACGUGGGGCUCAGACUCACGAAAUGUGAGCUCAUGACCCAAGUCGAAGUUGAUGCCCAACCGGCUGAGACACCUAGGCGCCCCUAGAUCUUGGGUUUAAUUCUCCAGAAUUUAUAUUACAGUUCUGUCUGAUGUUUGAACCAGAUUAAUUUAGAUUUGAGCAGUUUUGUCACAGCUUUUCAUCUUUGCCUAACUCUGACUGGACUAGGUUUGCUCCCCAGUUAAAAAGCAGAGUUGUAAAUGGGCAAUGCACUCUGGAUGGUUGUGUUGCCUUAAAAUGGCUUUGGGGCAGAAGCUCUUUUGAGCCCUAGCCCCACAACCAAUGCCAGUCCUUGAAUCAUUGUUUUAGCUUCAGAAAGGACCCUUGAGUGGUCUCCGGGUCUAAUGACCUUAUUUACUGGUUGACAGUAAACUGAGACUCAGUUAGGGGAAGUGACUGUGACAGAGGGAAUUAUUACUCCCUGAUUCUUCAUGCCUUUCCUUCACACCCUUUGCCUUGUGGCUCUGCUGUUCUUCUGGCUAGAGUAGGCAGAGUAUAUUUUCCCUACUCCCAUUGAUGUUGGGCACAAGUCACCAGCCAAGGCCCUAGGAGGCACCUCAUGUUUCCACCAGUCCUCUAGCAUUCCAAUGAUCCAUCAUGAGAAGAACAUUCCCCGGGUAGCCACAGGGUCCAAGGAAAAUGAGCAAACCUAUGGAGUAGACAUGAAACCCACCCACAGCCUGAACCAAACAUAAUCAUGCUGUAGCUGGAAGGAGAACUGCUCGGUCGGUCAGUGCCUGCUAAGAUGACUCAAACCACAGUCAACCUGUAGAUAUGUGAGCAGGAGAAUAAAUUCUUGUGGUGCUAAACCACUGAGUUUAGGGAUGGUUUGUUAGGCAGUUUCCUGAGUUAAUGGCUGACUGAUACAGUUACUGGGCUGAAACCCCACUCCCUAUUCCCCUCUGACUGGAGCACAUUUUUCCCUCUAAAGAGAUCUAGCAAUGCUGUGGGGUCCUGAGUCUACUCACCAUCCACACCAUCAUGUAGGAGAAGGCUGCAAUCCAUAACGUGGAGGAAGCAAAUGUCACCAUGAACCACUUUUCCCAGCGUGGCUUGUUGCAGUUGGGUACCGUGAAGUAUAAGACAAAACUCAGUGGCCAGGUGAAUGCCCACUUCACUGUUUCCAGUUUUCCAGCUGGGAAAAUAAAAAAGGCAGAAAGCACAUUAGUUAGCUUCCUCUCUCUGUUUUACCAGCCCUCCAUGCUGCUUGCCCCUGACAUUUACAGCCUAAUUGAUGGCCUGGGAAAUAAGCCUUAUCACGUUGUUCUUUACAUAAAAGACACAAAUGGCUUUCCACCAGCCACGAAACAUGGCGUUCAAAACCCAGUAGAAAAAAAAAAAAGGUAUCCACUGCUCACCUGCUAGUUAGGCACCCAAAUGACAGAUAUGUCACUUCUGAGCACACAGGGCUGGGAGGAUGGUUUGGCAAAUGGGGCCAGGUGGGAAAGGAUGAGGAUGAUUCUCAGACACAAAGGGAGAGGAGUGUGUGGGGGUGGGGUGAAGGUGGGGGAGGGGAGCUAGGCAGACCACCAGUCUGCCUGGGGUCUCUUCUCCCCAUGGUUAGAUAACACAAUCUUACAAGAUUAUAAAGUGUCAGUGGUCACAGCGCCAUCUAGUGGAAUUGCUCAAUAUUGUCUGUCAACUCACUGAAAUCUUGAAAGAUGGUUUGAAAGUUGUCAAAACACUGCCUGGGGGUAUCUCAAGCUGAUACGAAUUUGCAAAUUAGUCAUUGAUUUCUGGCUCUCUAAAUACCUGCUUUCAGGGAUGAGGUGAUGGAUUGGCCAGUGAUGACCUGAUCCUAUCAUCUCUGUGUUGUCUGAGCUCUGUGUUUCAGGCAUACCCAUAAAUGCUUAUUUUGGUGACUCUAUUUCCAUGAGUUCCUUGUCGUCUCAGAUUUGACAACCAUAUCAGGUCUCAUUUGGCCUUUAUUACAAUCCUGCUUAAGGGCUAAUACCUCUGGUAAGAAAUGCAUUGUAUAUACUCCCUGCUCCAAUGGAGAUAAAAGAACAUUUCCACCUUCCAGAAAGUUCCCUGAAUCUCUUUCCAGUCAAUCCUCCACCCUCUGCCACCAUAGAUUAGUUUUUCCUGUUGUCCACCUUCAAAUAAAGAAAAUCACAUGGUGCAUGAUUUUAGUCAACAUGUUUUUUGAGAUUCAUUCGUGUGUCAGGAAUUCAUUCCGCUUAGAUUGCUGUAUAGUCUUAUUAUACACAACUUAUUAUCCAUCCUCCUGUGGAUGGGACUUUGGGGUUGUUGCCAGUUUUGAAGUAUUACAACUAAUGUGGCCAUGAGCAUUCCUGUAUACUUUUUUUGGUGGGCAUGUUUUUAUCUCUCUUUGGUUGAAGACCCUGGAGUAGAACUGCUGAGUCACAGGGUGGGUGUUUUUUCUAACUUUGUUAAGAAACUGUUGAGAAGUCUCCCAAAAAUGAUUGUCCCAUUUUAUACUCCCACCAGAGUUAAGGAGGUAUUUUUAAAAUGACACUUUGAACAGUGAUUAGUAAACUGCUAAAUGAAAUUUAUUUUGUAAUUUUAUAGCGGUAUCCACCACUUUCCCAGUUCGCUGCUAUGAGAUGGGAACAAAUGCCACAGACACCAGGGACUGUUUGGCUGGAUUUCAAAGCAAGAAAGCUGUCGGGGGAUUUUUGUGAGCAUUUUUACAAAUGCUGUAGAAUCCAGAACAUAGUCAGACUCUUGGAUCCCAAAGGAAUCCUGGAGUCCUGCGUGCUGCUAAAUCCUGUGAUGUAGGGAUGUCAGUUACGCAUCUCGGGCUCUGGGGACCCCCUCACUGGCCUUCCAGUCUUCCUGAGGCCCCUGCACAGACAGACUUGGUCCAAUUUAAAUACACACAGCCCAUCAAAGUUAUAAAGAAAUACAGCAAUGGGAAGGGGAAUGACUGCCAUCUGGCUCUUUGUCAUCCUUCAGAAAUUCUUCAGAAAAUUAAAUAAACAAAAAAAGAAAUCGGAACUUAUGACUGCAGGAGCUUAGAAAAUGAUAUUAAGUAAAGCUGGAAGCAGUACAUGUUAGGACCAAUGAAUUUUGAGUUUUCUUCUCUCAGCUGCUUUAGAAAGUUCUGACUUGACUCUGGUUAGGGCCUUAUAUCUAGAAAAGAGUCUUCUGUUUCAUGAUAUAGAUGCUUUCUGCGAGUUAUGGCUCCACUGCAACAACAAACAUACAGCAGAAAUUCAAUCAGUAUGGGGAACCUGGGUGGCUCAGUCGGUUAAGCAUCCGACUUCUGCUCAGGUCAUGAUCUUGUGGUUUGUGAGUUCGAGCCCUGCGUCGGGCUCUGUGCUGACAGCUCAGAGCCUGGAGCCUGCUUCGGAUUCUGUGUCUCCCUCUCUCUCUGCCCCAUCCACUGCUCACGUUCUCUCUCUGUCUCUCAAAAAUGAAUAAACAUUAAAAAAAUUUUUAAAAAUUCAAUCAGUAUAAUCUGGAAUGUAAUGUAACAAAUACAGCUCCUUCAGCAAACCAAGUGAUACAGAAAUGUGCUUUUUAAGUGAUCUUGAAGAACUGCAGCAGCAAAUAAGGAACAUUCCUAUAUUUUGGUGUGUUCUUUUUCCUGUGGAAGUGUGUUUACCUACAUUCACAUAUAAACGUUUCUAUUUCUGUUAGUCAAUGGUAAGGCUUUCUUCAUGCAAGGAUAAGAAUAUAUGUUCAACUUAUACUCUGCAUAGGUGUAUAUGAUUUACAUAUGUGCCAUAUGAAUUUAACCUCUAUGUAUAUUAUAUGCACAUAUAAACACAGAGAUGCAUGUGCAUAUUUUAGCUAGCUUAAGUUUCCAUUUCUAAAUAAAGAGGUAAAAAUGGUUUCCUUUCCUCUCUGAGUCAACAGUAUUUCUGGAUAUUUCCCCAUCUUUUCUUCCAUUGCUAUGUGAUCCAAAGAGAGUGCCCUGGGGACAGGUUUAUUCCUUCAUUUGACGAAUAUUCAUUGAAUGCUCCUCUGCCAGUGUGCACCAGGUGCUGCUUCAGGUUUUAAGGAUACAGCCAUGAAUGAAGAAAACAAAACUCUCUGUGCAUGAACCCGAUGUACCAGUGAUCAUGUGAUUUCUCGGAAGUCAGCCAGCAACUGAGAGAUGAAGCCAGGGGACAUGAAGCGGGGACUCUGAGCAUUACAGUAUCCCUUUGAGUGUGACUUGCCUCUAAAAAGCAAAGGACCUGUUCUUAAGUUAUACUCCUUAUUGAGUUUUUAAAGAAGCUUAAUUCUAUUGAGAAGAAAAAGUCAUUGCUCAUUAUCAUAGGCCUAGAUUAAAUAUAUCAAUUUGUUCUAACUAUACAGGCAAUAAAAAUGUUUUAGAAUGGAAAAUCUAGAAAAAUUUAAACAAUAAUUCCACCUAGGAUAAACAUACUCAUAUUUUGGCAUACUUCUAUUGAGUCUUUUUUUCUGUGGAAGUAUGUUUGCCUAUGUAAACAUUUCUAUUUCUGACAGUCAAUAGUAAUAAUUUCUUCAUGCAACAGAUAUGAAUAUAUGUGCAAUUUACAUGUUUAUAUAUGCACAUACAUAUAUACUGUGCAUAGGUGUAUAUAAAACAUACAUACGAUAUGAGCUUAGCCUAUACACAUAUUAUACACACAUAUAAAAACAGGUAUGUUAAUAUCUGUGCAUAUAUAAGCAUAAAACAGUAUACAGAUUUAUAUAGUAUAUGAAUAAACAUGUUAGACGUAUACAUUAUAUCAACAUGUGCACACUGCACAUAUAUGCACAUGCUUAUAUUCAUGCAUGCCCAUGUAUGUGCACAUAUAUGCAUACACAAUGUAUGUGUGCACAUGUACAUACAUCAUAGAUAUGCCUGUAUUUACAUACUUCUACAUAAUUUCUUAUUAUUUUUUUUUAAAUGUUUACUUAUUAUUGAGAGACAGAGAGACAUAGAACGUGAGCAGGGGAGGAGCAGAGAGAGGGGGAGACACAGAACCUAAAGCAAGCUCCAGGCUCUGAGCUGUCAGCACAGAGCCCGACAUGGGGCUCGAACCCACAAACUGUGAGAUCAUGACCUGAGCCGAAGUCAGUUGUCUAACCAACUGAGCCACCCAGGUGCCCCUCUACAUAAUUUCUUAAAUACUAAUUAUACUCAUUAUAAUCAAAUUCUGGAGAGAAGAAAGCCCUACAGCUGUGACAGGAACAAAGACAGCCCAUGCCCCUGCAAGAUUACUGUGAGAAGGAGAAAUGUCCUCAUUGUGUGGCCAGACCUUUUUCAGGCCAAAGGAACUUAGUGCAGAGGAACUGGAUGUUCCUAGACUGAGUCCUCCCAGCUCCUCGAGUGGCCUCUGUUGGCCACUGCUUGAAGGGGUCUCCCUGCCCAAGGAAGGGCCUGCUGGACACUCAGAUCAAAGUUCGUGAGUCCGGGAAUGGGGUUUGGCCUCAGUUGGUGGAAGAGGACAGAGGAUCAUAAUUGGAUGAACCCACUCUCCGUUUCAAAGUCAGAACCUGGCUCUGAAUGAGGCUCCCCUAAGGCUCAGGGGAGCUGUAAAGAUCAGCCAUGUGAGGGUGCUACUCCCUCACUGGCUCAGGUGUGGCCCACAGACAAGCGGCACCAGUGUCACCUGGGGGCUUGUUAUAAAUGCAGAAUCUUGGGCCUCCCACCAGACCUUCGGAAUCAGAGCCAUUUUAUCAAGGAUGCCCAAGGUGAAGACCUUGGAUUCCAUUUCAUGUCUUGGUAGCUCGGGCGGGAGGUGGGGGGGAGAGGGGUGGGGGCGGUGAGUAGGAAGGCCCAGGAAUGAAGCAGAGAUCCUGAGGAGUGGCAGGACCACGCAGAGCAUCCUUUCUCCUCUCAUGCCUGUGCUUCCAAAGGAUGUGGAGGCCCCGAAGUGGGCUUCCCGAGCCCUUGUCUACAGCCACAUCUCUUAAUGUACGAGGAGACAAGAUGGAUGAUGUAGCUGGAAGCCCCAGGCCUCCUCAUCUGUAACAAACCUGAGACGAGAAGGGAAGGUGAGCAACAGUUACAAGGUACCUUGAAACCUCAAGGGUUGGCCUGGCAUUUAUCCCAUUCAGGUUAGAAACACAAACAAGUGAUCCGAAGGGGGCCCCUUUGUCCUACUAAGUAACGAGGCUCAGUUGCGGAAGCCACACGUCUGGUGUCACACACGUAUCUUUAGUGUGAGGUAGAGAGGUGUACUUGGGGCUUCUGGGAGGCCGACAUGGCCCCUUACAGAGCAUUAAUCAGUGAAAGACUUUAGCAAAAGUUAUUUUUAGAGCUUGGUUGUGGGCUGCCAGUGGUGAACUCUGAAAGCAAAGGCCAGGCUAGACAGAAUUUAAGAUGUAGGCCCCCAAGAGUCUAUGCCCUGACUCUCAGAACCUGUGAAGGGGGGCUGAGCUACCAGUUCCAUGACUAUGCUAUGCUAUGUAGCAGAGCUGACCUCCUCACGGGGAGGUUAUAUAGUUGGGCCUGAUCUAGGCCCCUCAAAAUCUGAAGGGGAGGGCCAAGAUAUUAGAAGCGUGAGAAGCACCCAAAGCACCAUUGCUAAUUUGAAGAACACAGGCCCUCAAGGGCAGUGGGCAACCCCCAGCUGACAGCCAGCAAGGAAAGAGGACAGCCUUACAACCACAAGGAACCAGAUUUUGCCAACAGUCUGCAUGUGUCUGGGAAUGAUUGUCCCCAGGGAUUCUGGGAAGGACUAAGUCCCGUCUGCACCUCUAAUAUGGCCUUCGGAGCCUCUGAAACCCAGCCACACUGUUUUAAGCCACUAAAUUUGUGGUGAUUUGUUAUGCAGCAAUAGAAAAUGGACAUAAAAGUUCAUAAGGGAGAAAUAGAGGGGACUGGUCACUUCAUCCUUAAAAUGCUUUUGUACUGGCUGAUAGGGAAGAAGGUUGCCAAGAAAUAUAGCCAAAGGUGGCAAAAUGGGUAAUAAGCCAGUAUACUUUUUUUCAGUCAAGAUAACCUUCUAACAAGUAAUGAUUUAACUCUGGCUGGGCAGUUGGGGACUUUGGGAUAUAGGAUCUGAGUGAACAGUGUCUAGUUAAUUUUGGUAAACAUUUGAUGAGGCUGAGAUCUGAGGAGCCUUGAGGGGGCACAGGAGGGCACCUCUGGUCCAAGUUCAACUUGAUGUCCCCUCACAUCUGAAAAUAACACAGAACUCUGAGACUCCACACCCACAUGCUACCAUUAAAUGGCCUUUCAAGUGGGUCAAGCAAUCCUUCCAGAAUUCAGUCCUCCUGGAAAUUCAAACAUCCUGGAGAAGUUGCACACAUUAAUUAAGCCUCACAGAUUUGACCAGGGCACUCUUUCCUAAAGCAGCCAGAAGUUUCUGGAAGGUCUGGCAAAUAGGUAGAAUUCUUUGGGCUUGGUCCACUCAUUCCAAUAAUGGGUGGGGUAGGAGGACAAGGUCUCUGGAAUAGCCAAGUCAUUGUUGGGUAGCAGUCAGGAGAGGACAACUGCCUUGGUGGCUGGGGUCCUGAAAACUAUACAUGCCUUGCUCCUCCCCUUCAAGGUACCAGGGAGAUUCCCGCUACCAGUGUGACUGUAUGAGAUUCAGCUGGGGAUGGGAUGCUUUUGCUAGGUCUGUAUCUUGGUGGUAUUUUAGGUCAUGGGAAAGGAGAAACCUGUAGGGGGGUGGGUGAGGGGUAGGAAGUGAGCAGAAGAACAAAAGCCAACUGGGAAGGCUGCACAUGCUCCCCUAGACUGGCCUUGGCAGGACAGCUCCCCCAGCCAAAUGUAACGGGAUGGGUGAAGGUGGGUGAAGAGCUUCUUCCCUUGAGUACCAAGCUGUCUCCCCAACAUGGGUUGUGAGAAUUUCCUCCUUAGCACCAAAAGGUCCCACAGAGCAGCUAAGAGAAGAUCUUUCUCCAUGAAGUGUCGACAAAUUUUACAUUUUGUCAAAGAACCCACAUUUCAGCUAAUGAUCAUGUGUCACCAUCUUGUUCAUCUCUGAACCCUCUAAAACAGAGUCUUGCCCAUGGUAGAAGUUAAUAUAAAUAUUUCUAUAUUCAUGUAUAGAGAUAGUUCUUUGAAUUGGAUGGCAAAAAGAUCAUCAAAGUCAAGGACAUGUACUCAGUGCCCAAAAAUAGCUCCCGAUCCCAGCCCACACAUAGGUCCUCUUACAGGGGAGGUCGAAUGGUGUGUAUGGUCCUUCAUCAUCAUCUUCAUCCUCCUCUUCCUCUUCAUCAUUCUCGUUGUUGUCAUUGUCCUCAUUCUCAUUCUCUGUCUCGUUACCAGCCUCAGCAACAACAUCAUCCCUCCGAGUCCCAUUCACACCUCUGUCUGGGCCACUGCUGGGCCCUGUCCCAUUCUCCACGGUGUGCUUAAUUGGGAUUUUGAUGGCCACCUCAGAUUCUCCAUUGGCGUAGGCCCUACUGUUUAUGAGUCUUUGCCUCUGGAAAGAGAAAGUCACAUUCUUACCACAGUCAGAGGGAAUGUAGAUCCUUACAACUAGGACACCAGCUAUUAGGACCUUUUUCAGGCUGUGACAGGGAGAUGCUUCCAGAAGACUCUUCAGUCAAGUCUUCAGGGAUUCUUCAAAGUAAUAAGCAACUCAGACAACCUCCUUCUGGGAGGAAGGAUUCACAUGUUAUGACCCACAGGAGUUUGCAAAUCCCUUUAGAGAAAAUAUCCUCUUUCUCCAAUGUGCCCUUCAUUUCUGUCAGCGUUCUCAAUUCCCUGGGCACUGCACUAUUAUCUUUCUUCUUUGGACUGUAGGAAUCACUUGGUCCAUAUAUAAGAAAGCCACAAAAGUGUGUCUGGACUAGUGUAUCAAUAUGGCUGCCACUCCAGAGAAAGGGUUACAUAGGAGAAUUCAGGUCAGAGACUACAUUACUUUAAAGUAAGGCAACCUUGAUUUAGCAACUGCUUCUGUGCAAGUUCACAUCAAAGGGUUUAACCCAUAUGAAAGAUGAAAAGAAAAAGGUAGGUAGAGGGGAUAAGAAAGUUUUUCUGUAUGACUGGGAGCCUGAUCAUAUCUUUCAACACGUGGACACGUGGAGAGAAGAGCAAGAAAUAGGAUGUACAGCUGGCUCCAUCAGCAAAGAUGUUGGGAAAUAACUGAGGAAUAUUAUUGUGUUCAAUGUUGAGUUUGGUAUUUCUGUUUUCAGAACAAGAAAUGUCCUCCCCUUCCCAAAGUCUCCCACCCUGCUCAGUGGCUAAUGCAGUGUUUCCCAGAUACCUCAUUGAUCAACAUGCGACUGGCCAUGGAGAGUCGGGUCUUGGGGGGGAAGUGGCUGGUGAUCAUGAUUCGAAGUCCAGCCUCAGAGAAAGAAAGCUGGUGAGGGUAGGCUGACAGCAGCUCAUCUACCAUGAUCACUGACGCUUUGCGGUGGAAAUUAGCUAGGGAAAUUAAAAACACAAAGUAAAGAAAACAUUGAGGCUAGGAGCAGGAAGGAGAUAUUUAUUUAGACUUCUUUCCCUUCGUUUUCUCCCCUUUCCUCCCCUCCUCCUCCCUCCCUCCUAUCUACUCACUUAUACAUCCAUCCAUCCAUCCAUCCAUCCAUCCUCUCAUCCACCCCUCUAUCCUUCCUUCAUCUACCCAAUCGUCCAUUUAUCCAUCCAUCCAUCUACCCACCUGCCCAUCCUCCCAUCUACCUUUCCUCCCUCCCUCCCUCCCUUCCUUCCUUUUUUCCUUCCUUGCAUCCAUCCAACCAUCCAACCACCCGGCCAUCUAUCCAAGGAAGGCUGUAGUGGGCAAAAUUUAGAGAAGAGUCAAACUCUUCUUUCCAUAAGGCUCUUUGAUAUAGCUUAUUUGAAAUGUCUUGAAACAAUUUAAGCAUCAUUCACUGGCACAGUAAGAAUGAGUGAUAACCUAAGAGAAUUCUUUUGUGUCUUCAAAGGAUUUUUCUCCCUGGGCACAGGAAAGAUCCCAAUAAGAUUUAGUAACCCUUUCUGCCUUUCAAAUGUCAACAAUGUUCAAUGUUCUGAGCUGUUAAAAGCUGCAGAACUGACUUUAAUGUCCAGUGGAGGGCUUAGUGAAGGAACAAGAACACUGCUGUAGCCCAGUCUACGAGCAGGGCUGACAAACAGGCGUAGGUGGCUGAGCUGGCCACAUUACAGAGGCCCAAGGUCCAGUGGGACCCAAAUUGGUACACAAGAUUUGCUGACAGGCCUGAUAAAAAAGUUUCACCAAGGCCCAAGUUCCCUCUCCAUGAAUGUGCAAUCCGAGCACACAGCUCACAGGUACCUGGACGUACACUCUCCUGGUCCUCACUCCUGUUUUCCAAGCCACUAAACCAUCAAAUGAUCUCUUGAAACACUGACUAAUAGGAGGUAGCUCUUUUUGGUUCCCUAAGAGUAUUCCUUUUAUGGUUAAAAACUCUCCGGAAGAGAUUAAAUUCUGAUGUGGGAUGGCACUGAAUACUCUAAAGUCUUUGGUUAAACAUAAGUAGAGAAGUGUGUCACAUAAUCGAUUUUCAAAUUCAAAUAAUUACCCACAGAUUUCAAACUCAGACAUAUAUUUGAAAAUAACAUAGAUUUUCUAAUUUCUUUUUUGUUUUUCCUACAAAGCAACCAUAUGGGACCAAGCAGAAAUAAACCCACACAUUUUUGGAGGAAGUUAAAAGAAAUUAAGUGAAAAACAAAACACAUUCUAAGGCAAAUGUAAAUGACAAUUUUCUAUGUUCCUCUAAGAAAGAAUAUUAUUAGGGAGCACUAUCUUAGUUCUUUUAGUAUAUCAACUGCUUAAUGAGAAUGAGAAUCUAUUGACUACAAGAAUUACUUUGUAAAAAAAAGGGGAGGGAGUAAUUUACCAUGUCAUUUUCAGCUUGGAAACUGAGGUAAUGUGGACUGAAAGUGAAUUUGGAUAUAGUAAUACACUAACAACAAUUAUCGCAAAUGGAAUAUUUUACAUAUUUUAUCUCCUCUACUCGAUAAAAGGUUAUCCCCGUUUGGGAGAAGAGAAAAUUGAGGCCCACUUGCUUCAUGGUUAUACAGCCAAAUUGUGACAGUCAAUACCUCAAACCACCCUCUCUCCCCAGUCUUCUCUCCUAUAUGGUCCUGUCCUAAUUCUCCCUCCCCCUUGUCACUCCCAGCAAAUGUUUUGCUCAAGAACUUCAGGAAACCUUCCCAGGCAGCUCAUCACCAGGUAUGACUGCCCCAGGAUGUAGCCAAAGGGAGGCGGGGGGGGGGGGGGGGGGGGGGGGNGGGUGGUGGUGGGGGAACCAGACCCUUCUCUCCUUUGGUCUGCUCUGGGACAGGCAGCAUCCGGCCAACCCAGCCAUGGUGCCCCAGGCAGCCUCCCAGCGCUCCUUCCUUGGACCCAGGCUCCACGCGGUUACCUUUCUUGAGUAGCACCACAGUUGCGUCACAAUUGCUGCUGUCAUCGAUUUCUGCAUUGUUGGCUAAGCCGUUGACCAUGUUUCCAGUACCUUUCGUUCUCCUUUCGAAGCACUGAUGGAUGCAAGCGUUAUAUCUGAACAAAGUAAUGAGCAGAAGGAGUCUGUCAGUGUUUGCUGCUGCCCCAUUUCCCAUCCCCCAUCCAGUGUUGUGCGCAGCUCCCAGUCUAGGUGUGUUAUUGUCAUUAUUAUUUUGUCCUCCCGUUUUCCCUGCAGAAAAUGCACCCUGUCCUAUUUUCCAAUUUAAGGAUCUAUGGUAAAUGAAAAUAAAACCAACAUUACAUAAAUAAAUAGAGACCCACUGCUUUCUUUGCAGCCUCUUCAAGGUCAAUGGAGGCACCCCAGGAUUGAGGUCCCCUGCUUGCAGUCUGUGUGUGGAAGGGUCGCCAUGAGGCUCAGUGGGAUGGGCAAGGUCUACCUUCUUUUGGCCGUGUCUCCAGGACCCACUGCUGCAGGGACCUGCUCAGUGGGGGGAAGGAGGAAGGAGCAGGUGUCACAUCCACGCUGCUACCCAGUGUGUCACAGGCUGGCUGGCACUCUAGGCCUCUGUCUGUGUUUGGUUUUCUAAAAUCACAGGUUGGGAUCCUGUGAAUCUCUUGUUAAUGCUGUAUUAGGGGGCCUGGGUGGCUCAGUCGGUUAAGCAUCCGAUUUUGGCUCAGGUCAUAAUCUCAUGGUUUGUGAGUUUGAGCCCCGCCUUAGGCUCUGUGCUGACAGCUCAGAGCCUGAAGCCUGCUUCGGAUUCUGUGUCUCCCUCUCUCACUUCCCCUCCCCCACUCACUCUCUGUCCCCCCCCCCCAAAAUAAAUAAACAUAAAAAAAAAUUUAAUGCUGUGCUAUAAUUCCAGGUCUGAUGGGCUGCUGGCUUCAUAGGAAAAAUUCUGGGCUAUGAUCCUUAGAAUGACUGAGUGAAAACAUUGUGCAGUUCAUCUUACAUGUGUGUUAAAAAAGAAGCUUAUUCAAAUUCCUAGCACGUUUUUGGCAGGUAAAUGUUCUGGUCCCUUUAUCUUUAGUAUUAGAAGACCUCACCCCCCCUUACCAAAGAGGAAUCCUAGAAAACUCUUGGGGAAAGGGAGGGGGCAUUGUUCCCAGGGUGUUGUAGGCCACUGCUGCUUUUUGCCCUGCUCGAAGACCUAAAGGCCUUGGUGGCUUAUUGGCCAUGGGACAACCCACUGAGGUGUCUCUCCAGCUUGAUCUCUGGCCUCCCAGAGGAACUGCAGCCAGGCAUGGCAACUCUAAAUUGCCAGCUGGCAGGCCACUCAAGCUGUAUUUCCUCACACAAGCUUCUCUUCCACACCCUUUUUGCUGCUGCAGACAGGAGGCUCUGUGGAGUACUCUUCACUGAACCUAUGUUUCAGUCAGAGCAGCACUGGGUGGCUGGGCCCACUGGGAUAUGACAGCUAUCGUGGAAUAGAUGGAGGGACCCUCUGUGGCUGGACAGCCCCUUCCUGUACUCCCUGGGAGUUGCGGUUCACCCUCCAUUGUGUGAGGGAGAGAACAUAAAACUAGUCAAAGGUAAUGGUGGUUUCUGUGAAAAGGGAACCGGGCAGGCCAAUCCUAGAGCACUCUUUAUAAGAGGUGGAGAACAGAACCAGAACAUCACUAUUUUGCAAACCUAAAGAAAUGAUGGAGCCAGAUCCUGAGCAUCAGUGGCUGCCAAAACCACAGACAGGAGACAUCAAUGUGCCUGUUGAUGGCAGAAUUCACCACCACUUGGGACACAGUCUACCUUGAACUGGAUUGAUGGCUGGCAUAUAGGAAACACAGAGGUCAGAAGAACAGGAUGCACCAUACCCCCGGAUGUAACCAACAACUUCCAAACUGCGGGAGACUAUGUAGCUAAUAAUCCAACUUUGUCGAAGAAUAAAUUGCAAGGAAAAAAAAAAACAGAUGGGGGAUUUGUAGAUUAAAAGUUGGAGCAACUCGGGGCACCUGGGUGGCUCAGUUGGUUAAGCACUUGAUUUGGGGUCAGGUCAUGAUCUUGUGGUUUAUGAGUUUGAGCCCCACAUCAGGCUCUGUGCUGACAGCUCAGAGCCUGGAGCCUGCUUCAGAUUCUGUGUCUCCCCCUCUCUCUGCCCCUCCCAUGCUUAUGCUCUGUCUCUCUCUGUCUCUAAUAAAUGAACAUUAAAAAAAAUUAAAAAGAAAAAAAGGGGCACGUGGGUGGCUCAGUUGAUUGGGCGGCCGACUUCACCUCAGGUCAUGAUCUCACGAUCUGUGAAUUCGAGCCUUGUGUCUGGCUCUGUGCUGACAGCUCGGAGCCUGGAGCCUGCUUCAGAUUCUGUGUCUCCCUCUCUCUCUGCCCCUCCCCUGUGCAUACUCUAUUUCUCUCUCUCUUUCUCUUUUUCUCUCUCUCUCAAAAAAAAAAAAAAUAAACAUCAAA